RNAcentral lists this ribosomal RNA (119 nucleotides) under Melitaea cinxia (Glanville fritillary). The record is from RNAcentral. Lineage: Eukaryota; Metazoa; Arthropoda; Insecta; Lepidoptera; Nymphalidae.
UUAAACGUCCAUACCGCGAUGAAUACACCGGUUCUCGUCCGAUCACCAAAGAUAAGCAACGUCGGGCGCGGUCAGUACUUGGAUGGGUGACCGCCUGGGAAUACCGCGUGACGUAGGCG